AGGAUGCUUGGGAAGUGUUUGACAGAGCUGCACUGAGCUUGGCAACUUCCCCUGACUUCUCACAUUAGAACAGCAAAUAUUUCAGGCCUGACCUUUCUACAAAGAUUAACAAAUGAUCUCUCUGCUAUGGUAUCCUGCAGUACUGUGAGAUGGUGACAUGGUAUACCUCAUCCCAAACCAUGCAGCAUAUGAAGCACCAUCUAUCCCGAUCCCUGUGUGUGGGCAAUACCCAUGUGACUCAGGAACACAAAACUUAUUCAACAAAGUGGUCCUUCAGUGUUCUGUGGGCAUCUGGCAGCUCCCUUCCACUCCUGCUGAAACCCUAAGUACUAUCAAGCGAAGAGCAGAGCAGCCUCUUCCUGCAUUUCCCACCAGCUUAUUAUUCUUCUCUGGCUUGUGGAGAGUCCUCAAGGUUAACACCUGGAAAGUCCUAUGUUCAAAGAGAACAGGCAGUGAUGUGCUCCCUGGUAAUCUGUUGAAAUUAUUGGCCUGCCUGUAUCCAGAAGCAGCAUUUUUUGCUCAAGGCUCUGAUCAGCCACGUGCUCAGCAUCCUCCCUGUGUCAUCAUCUUGGGAAAUACGCUCCGACACAGUAAGUAAGGGUAAACUGUAAAAUUGCCUUGCCAAAGAAGGGCAACAGGGCUGGGGA
Molecule: long non-coding RNA, 647 nt
Organism: Pseudopodoces humilis (Tibetan ground-tit)
Lineage: Eukaryota; Metazoa; Chordata; Aves; Passeriformes; Paridae
Source: RefSeq, a predicted model, not a curated record